GACGAACGCUGGCGGCGUGCUUAACACAUGCAAGUCGAACGAUGACGACCGAGCUUGCUCGGUCUGAUUAGUGGCGAACGGGUGAGUAACACGUGAGCAACCUGCCCUUCACUCUGGGAUAACCUCGGGAAAUCGGGGCUAAUACCGGAUAUGAGCUCCUGUCGCAUGGCGGGUGUUGGAAAGUUUUUCGGUGAAGGAUGGUCUCGCGGCCUAUCAGUUUGUUGGUGAGGUAGUGGCUCACCAAGGCGAUGACGGGUAGCCGGCCUGAGAGGGCGACCGGCCACACUGGGACUGAGACACGGCCCAGACUCCUACGGGAGGCAGCAGUGGGGAAUAUUGCACAAUGGGCGAAAGCCUGAUGCAGCGACGCCGCGUGAGGGAUGACGGCCUUCGGGUUGUAAACCUCUUUCAGCAGGGAAGAAGCGAAAGUGACGGUACCUGCAGAAGAAGCGCCGGCUAACUACGUG
This 467-nucleotide ribosomal RNA is filed under the name uncultured bacterium. RNAcentral describes it as "partial 16S ribosomal RNA". It matches the Rfam family "Bacterial small subunit ribosomal RNA", at positions 28 to 507 of the family's 1533-position model. The record is from RNAcentral.